This is a long non-coding RNA of Grammomys surdaster, 1899 nucleotides long. RefSeq lists it as uncharacterized. The record is from RefSeq and is a predicted model, not a curated record. NCBI's taxonomy places the organism in Eukaryota, Metazoa, Chordata, Mammalia, Rodentia, Muridae. The transcript is spliced from 3 exons.
UUCUUGAAAUAGACAGGGCUUGUGUGCCUUUGAAUCCACCCAGAUCUCGCCUUUGCAGGGCCGUGUUCUGGCUUUUGCACUGUCUGCUUUUGUUCCUUACCUUUCACACGAGUUUCUCUGUGGUGCCCUGGCUGUCUUGGAAGUCACUCUGUAGACCAGACUGGCCUCGAACUCAGAAAUCCAUCUGCCUCUGCCUCCCCAGUGUUGGAAUUAAAGAUGUGAGCUACCAUUGGUCCACCCGAAGUCCAGAGAUCUAACCCCAAGCUCUCAGGACACAGGCAGAGACUCCUUGCUGCAGUUACUGAGAGAUUCAGAGCGACUUGGGUGAAGUCCAUGGUGCUCACAGAGGUCAGGGGUCUUCUUGGAGCUGAAGCUGGAAUUACAGGUGGUUGUGAGUCACCUGACCCGGCUGGAGGGGGGUUAAAUGAAGAGCAGAAGGACUCGUAACUGCUGAACAUCUCUGCUGCCGCUAAGGACGCGUUCCAAGUCCUAAGAAUGCAUCGUGUUCUCCGUCGUGCCCUCUGCAGCGCUCAGCUACAGCUCUCCCUGCAGCUAUGUCAGACCUCUAUUCUCAGUGACUCGUUACUGAAACUGCAGCUUAGCUUGUAAUAUCCUUUUUACAUUCACAGUUUCAUGGUUUAUACAUUAAGGUCACAAAUCACUUCACAACAGAGAGACACUCUGAAACACAUCACCAGGCACUCUGUCAUUGCGCAAACAUUCUAGACCACACUUACACAAACAUUCUAUUGCACAUCUAAGAACCGUCAUGGUGCCUGAAGUAAGUCCUGCACAGAGAUCUACUUUUCAAAAGCACAUGGCUGUGUUUAAUUACAUCAUGCAAUUGUCAUGUCAGGUAUGACUGGCAAGAACAGAUUUUAGGAAAGCCAACUUGGGGUCAGAGGGCAACCCAACAGGUAAAAGCAGAAGUGAGGUGUAUGUAGAGAGCGUCCUCUCCAACAUUGCUGGCUGUAGACAUCCUGUGUGCAGUCCACAGAGGCCAUGGAGACAAGAGGAUGCCAUGAGUCCUGGUCAGGGAAAAGAUAGUAAAAAAGACUGUUUGUUCUGCACAUUAACACUGCAAAUGGUACAGAGGCAUCAUGCUUAGCAUCUGGUGAAGGAAUACCAAGUGCACAUAGUGAAGGUCAAAGCAGGAAGACAAGUAAGCCUAUGGAGACUUACCUAAACAACUCAGAUCCAGUCAUUGGAUGGGGAAGGGCUGCUUGGUUAGGCAAGAACGUUGCUCACUAAGCCUGUCAGAGACAUGGUCAAAUAUGUCAUGAUGGUGGUGGGAAUUACUUCUGGAUCGAGGCUGUUUUGUUGAGCAUGGCUGUGAUGGCAUUAUUCAUGUACCUUUGUCAGUACUCUACGGAAUGUGUAAGCGGCUUUUUCUAGUUUACUAUAUCCAUAACCUAACUGUCUGGCAUUCCUUCAAUAAGAUUUAUACAGUGAAAUGGAGAUUUCUGAUUUCUUUGGACUCAGUUGUGUUAUGUGGUGUUUUUCUGGAAACUGUCUUAUGAGAGGAUGUUUUCCUGAAACAGAUACUUGAGAGGAAGUGUGAUGUUUAUAAGUAGAACCCAACAGACAGCGAAUGAGGCUGUAGCAUUGGUUCACCUUGCAACACUUUGCUGGUCUUUGCUGAUCUUCUCUUGCGGAAACUUCAUAGAGGGAAAUGUGCCAAAGAACUUCUUGCCAUGAGUGUUUGACAUUUGAUGCUUUGGAGUGGACUGCUGCUAUCCUGACAACGAAGAUCGGAAUAACCUCAAAGAACUACUUCUAACAGGUCCACAUACCCCCUUGUUCUAUUAACCAUCUUUCUCCCCUAACUUUGGUUGAUGGGCUAGAAGGGAGGUUGAAGUGCAUAUGAACCCUUAUUAAAGUAGAGUUUGAAAAAUCUAA